GGGCGAUUAGCUCAGCGGGAGAGCGCUUCGUUCACACCGAAGAGGCCGACAGUUCGAUCCUGUCAUCGCCCA
Molecule: transfer RNA, 72 nt
Filed under: Actinomycetes bacterium
Lineage: Bacteria; Bacillati; Actinomycetota; Actinomycetes
Description: tRNA-Val
Rfam family: tRNA
About the family: Transfer RNA (tRNA) molecules are approximately 80 nucleotides in length. Their secondary structure includes four short double-helical elements and three loops (D, anti-codon, and T loops). Further hydrogen bonds mediate the characteristic L-shaped molecular structure. tRNAs have two regions of fundamental functional importance: the anti-codon, which is responsible for specific mRNA codon recognition, and the 3' end, to which the tRNAs corresponding amino acid is attached (by aminoacyl-tRNA synthetases). tRNAs cope with the degeneracy of the genetic code in two manners: having more than one tRNA (with a specific anti-codon) for a particular amino acid; and 'wobble' base-pairing, i.e. permitting non-standard base-pairing at the 3rd anti-codon position.
Source: RNAcentral